Hibiscus syriacus is the source of this 170-nucleotide long non-coding RNA. RefSeq lists it as uncharacterized. The record is from RefSeq and is a predicted model, not a curated record. The transcript has 2 exons. NCBI's taxonomy places the organism in Eukaryota, Viridiplantae, Streptophyta, Magnoliopsida, Malvales, Malvaceae.
CUGAAGAGUGCGGAUAACUCUGAUUCGGGGCCUAGGGUCAUUUUUUUAAUAGGAAUAAAUACAAGAUCGGGAGCACGAUUGUUAGGUAUCAUCUAUUUGUGAGGCCGAACAUAAAUGUAAGAACAACUACCUGAUGCCAAUCUCGAAGAAAUUUCGAUUCUUGAUUGUCA